UAUCUGUUCAUUUUUCGUUUUUCCGUGUCCAACGUUUGACCAUUCGUCUUAUUUAAAAAUUUUAUUUAAAAACUUUUAAAAAAUAGUCACGUAUAAAGUACUAUUCAUAUUUUAUCAUCUAGUAAUAAUAAAAAUAUUAAUCGCAAAAAAAUUUUAAAUAAGACAAAUGGUCAAACGUUGGACAUGGAAAAAC
Molecule: microRNA precursor, 193 nt
Filed under: Oryza brachyantha (malo sina)
Lineage: Eukaryota; Viridiplantae; Streptophyta; Magnoliopsida; Poales; Poaceae
Description: MIR812 microRNA precursor family
Rfam family: MIR812 microRNA precursor family
Source: Rfam by way of RNAcentral